This 497-nucleotide ribosomal RNA is filed under the name uncultured bacterium. RNAcentral's name for it is "partial 16S ribosomal RNA". It matches the Rfam family "Bacterial small subunit ribosomal RNA", at positions 28 to 507 of the family's 1533-position model. The record is from RNAcentral.
GAUGAACGCUGGCGGCGUGCCUAAUACAUGCAAGUCGAGCGAACGGACGAGAAGCUUGCUUCUCUGAUGUUAGCGGCGGACGGGUGAGUAACACGUGGAUAACCUACCUAUAAGACUGGGAUAACUUCGGGAAACCGGAGCUAAUACCGGAUAAUAUUUUGAACCGCAUGGUUCAAAAGUGAAAGGCGGUCUUGCUGUCACUUAUAGAUGGAUCCGCGCUGCAUUAGCUAGUUGGUAAGGUAACGGCUUACCAAGGCAACGAUGCAUAGCCGACCUGAGAGGGUGAUCGGCCACACUGGAACUGAGACACGGUCCAGACUCCUACGGGAGGCAGCAGUAGGGAAUCUUCCGCAAUGGGCGAAAGCCUGACGGAGCAACGCCGCGUGAGUGAUGAAGGUCUUCGGAUCGUAAAACUCUGUUAUUAGGGAAGAACAUACGUGUAAGUAACUGUGCACAUCUUGACGGUACCUAAUCAGAAAGCCACGGCUAACUACGUG